UCCAACUCCCAGCUCCGAAGGCACUCCUUCCCGCCCCGCCCUCUGGGUCAAGUUCUCCAGUCCCAGCGAUUGCAACACAGCCUCGGUAAAACUGCUGGUACCUAAAGGAACUGUAAGAAAGGGACUGCAGAGUAAGGAGGGGUAGUUGACAGUACUAGUCCCUGAGCUUCCAGACCCUAAAGUUGAUGGACCCAGGAAUGAGUCUCACUGUAAAGGAAGUCCUUUAUAAAGAAAACGAUGACGAGGUUAAAGGAGAAACUCCUGGUGUCGGGAGCCUUGGCCACACUGGGCUUUCUCCUUUUCCUUCUUCCCGGAGGCAGGGGCUCCAGGGCUGUGUUCUCUUCAGAUCGACUCUCCGGAAGUUCUGCUCGUCAUCCCCACCAGCCACUGAAGAAGGCAGGUCCCGUGGGGACAGGGGUUCUUCCUGGCUGCUGGGAAGGAGGUCUCCUGAAAUCCAGCUCAGCUCCGUGUCCAGCUCUAAGCUGCUUCUGGUCUCUGGAGGGUCCUUGGCCCAGCUGGGUUCCAGGCCUGGGCAAGGGGCUGGCAGGCGGAUGUGCUUGGAGACUUUGCUCUGGAUGCCGGAACGCUGCUGCACCUGGAUGCUCGACCCGCCCCAGAAGGAUGAGGACCGGGUCAGAGGGCAGGAGGGCCCACUCACCUCUGACAACAGGUCUUCCCGGCUACCCAGGCCCUGCACAUCCAGGGAGUCAGUCCUUAUUGCUGCCUGUAGGGAGUGGAAGCAGGGCUCAGCCCAGGGAUUUCCUUUCCAACGUGGAUUCUCUUUUAUCCUUUCUGUCAUGUCGCUGUGCCUAAUCCCCACAAAGCUGCAGGACCGCCCUAUUAGCUUCUCUUAUUGAGAGAAGGGGGGUAUAAGCCCUCUGAGCUCUGUGGACCACCCUUCAACCACCAAAUUUUUCUUCUAUCCUCCUGCUCCAUUUCCCUAAAUCUGCAGGAGGAACUCUGUGCAGUCUUUGGGCCCUGGGGCACCAGAAAGAACUCAUACAUACCAGCUCUGUUUCCCAAACUGGCCCCUUUGUGCCUCUAGCCUUUAGGGAGAGAGAGCAAGGCAGCAAGCAAGUCCCUUGGCUUUGAAUACCCUUCCUGACGACAAGUAUCCCUGGUUCUGCUGAACAUGGGUUUUCUGUGAUGAGCACAUGGCAGUCCACUUCAAGGAAAACCAACCCUUGUCUCCUCUGCGCUCACACAACUCACACAAGCACCACGCAGCUAUAACCUGGGGCUGCAGUGAUCUGGUGGCAUGUGUGUCCACUGAGCUCAGAGAGCAGGGACUGUGUCCCAGUGCCUAGCAGCAGGAAGUGGCUGAAGGAAGAGGGAUCUUGCCUGCUCCCCAAGAACAUGAUGCUGACAGAUAUUCCUCUAUCUGUGAUCAGGAGACCCAGACAUCAACGCAAGGCACACAAGCCUCACUUGGCUCCAUUAGUCUCUGUCUGGUUCAUGGAUGGUGGACCUCAGGAUUGCUCGGAAAUAAAGACACUUAGAUCCUG
RNAcentral lists this long non-coding RNA (1505 nucleotides) under Rattus norvegicus (Norway rat). Its description in RNAcentral is "long non-coding RNA NONRATT004759". The record is from RNAcentral. Lineage: Eukaryota; Metazoa; Chordata; Mammalia; Rodentia; Muridae.